This is an RNA transcript of Pimephales promelas (fathead minnow), 496 nucleotides long. It is a transcript of the gene named zic family member 6, with no coding region annotated. NCBI's taxonomy places the organism in Eukaryota, Metazoa, Chordata, Actinopteri, Cypriniformes, Leuciscidae. The record is from RefSeq and is a predicted model, not a curated record.
GUCAAAAAUAAAAAUAUGUCGUGGGUCGGACGGUGUGGGACGCCCUGAAUCUGUUCUGUAGCCUACUGGAUGCUUCGAGGCAGGUUUCUAUAGUUUUGGGAGGUAGAUGCUGAGGACCUGAGCUGAGUGAGCGCUUCUCAACCAUCACUUUCAUCCUCUGCAAGUUCAGCGGAGACGACACACUUUCUCUGACGCCGCGGGCCAAUUGCAUCUUUGAACUCCAGGGCUUUAACAAGUUAAUAUCGGAGGACAGGGCAGUACGGACAGCAGCUAGGAAGCAAAGUAGGGGAGAGAUGGGGGAACAGGAUCAGAAAGGACCACGAGCCAGAACUCAAACUCUGUUGCCCGAAGCACAGCCAGGCAAUAUGUUGAAGCUGCUGCUUUGAUUUUUAAAGUCUUCAUUUUUUUUAUUAAACUUGGAGAAAAAAGUCACUAGUUUGUCAUGUGAUCGCCAAAUGCAUUUACCUUGCUUAGUGAAUUAAAUAUUAAUGGCAUA